CUGUGCGUGUCAAAAAAAAAAAAAAAAAGAGAAUCCGUUUUACUUAAGCCCAGAUCCGUUGUCUUGGGUAGCAUGGUCUGGGAGGCGGUGGCAGAGGCUGGAGGGGGAGGCUGGGGGGCGGGGUGUUUCUGGCAAGGGCUCCGGGAGCCGUGGGUGCUCCCUUGGUGGCUGUGGGUUGGUGAGUGGCAGCUCGGCUGGUUUCCCAGCGACUGACUUCCUGUUGUUGGCAGUGAAUUCUAGAGCAGAGGGAGAAACCAGGACUUGAGGGCUUGGGGGUGGUCUUGGCGGAGGUCGUGCAGCUAAGGAUGUGGGGCUGAGGCUGCCCUAAGUUCUCCAGGUGGGCCCCAAGCCCAGCCCCUGUGCUCAUCAGACAGACGAGGGCCAGGGAGAAACGAAGGAGCAGCACGGAGCCCAGCUGCCCCGGCCCCCGGCAGCUGGAGGAGGCCUGGGGCAUCUGCCAGGCCUCCCAGAAGCCAGUGAGGGCGAAGUGCAGGGCCCUGGACAGGGCCGAGAGCUGUGCCCAAGGCCAGGGCUGGCGGGGGAGCCGCUGCCCCGUGUCCUGCUCUGGGCUCUCCCCGGAGAGAGCUGCUCUGAGGGGAGGGGGGACCCCUGCCCAGCAGAGGGCCGGGGGCCCAAGGUGGCCUGUGCGCACGUCCCUGCAGACAGGGCCUCGUGCAGCAGGUCUGGAACGGCGCCCAAGAGCCCACUUGGCUUGGGGACGUCUGUGGACACAGCCUCCGGGGGCUCUGCGCCGCUCAGCUGCAGCACCACGCCCGCCCCCAGCCCCUCAGCGAGAGCCAGGCAGGGGCCCAGCCGCCAGUCUUCGUCAUAACACAGGGGGCUGGCAGGAGCGGUCCACCCCAGGCCCAGCAGGGGCCGGGCAGAACGAGGCCAGGCAGACUGGCCUUGGGGGACCUGACCGAUGGACGCGUGGCCGACUCAGCUCCUGGUGCAAAAUCAGCCAGAACGGGGAAACCCACGGGUUACGAAGGGCUCUCGGCAGAGCCUGCUGCUGCUUUCAGCGCUGUGUGUUAUCUGUGCAAUCGAGAGGCAGAGGGACAGGCAGGGACACGGACAGAGCUCCCCUCUGCUGGUCACUCCCCAGAUGUCUGCAGCAGCUGCGGCUGGGCGGGGCCGGGGCGGGGGCGGGGCUGGGGGGCGGGGCCGGGGCACGCAGCCCAGUCUCCCACGGCAGCUACCUGAGCGUCCCCACCGCCUCCAGGGUGCACAUCGGCAGGAAGCUGGAGCCCGGCACUGGGAUUCUGACCACAGACCUCACGUGGUGGGGCCUGCGCCUCCCUCAGAAGGGGUGGGGCUGGCGCUGGGGGAGGGGCGCCCGACCCGUGCUAACUCUGUCUCUUCUGUUUGAAGGAAGGAGCCUCAGCCCGAGCCGUCGCCAAGCCCCCGUGGCGCGGCCGCCAAGGGGAAGGGGUCCCCCCAGGCCCAGACCGUCCGGCGCUCGCCCAGUGCUGGCCAGAGCCUUGAGGACAGUCCCAGCAAAGUGCCCAAGAGCUGGAGCUUCGGGGACCGCAGCCGGGCCCGCCAGGCCUUCCGGAUCAAGGGCGCUGCCUCGAGGCAGAACUCAGAAGCCAGUCUCCCCGGGGAGGACGCAGUGGACGACAACAAGAGCUGCAACUGCGAGUUUGUGACCGAGGACCUGACGCCUGGCCUCAAAGUCAGCAUCCGGGCCGUGUGGUGAGGACCCCGGGGCUGGCGCGGAGGGACACGGGGCGCGGGCUGUCUGCGGGGUGCCAGGGGGC
Long non-coding RNA from Oryctolagus cuniculus (rabbit), 1760 nucleotides. Lineage: Eukaryota; Metazoa; Chordata; Mammalia; Lagomorpha; Leporidae. The record is from Ensembl.